RNAcentral lists this long non-coding RNA (592 nucleotides) under Camarhynchus parvulus. Its description in RNAcentral is "lncRNA (ENSCPVG00000017575.1)". The record is from RNAcentral. Lineage: Eukaryota; Metazoa; Chordata; Aves; Passeriformes; Thraupidae.
GCAGAAUAUUGUGUUGACUUGUGGGGUUCAGCUGUUUAAAUAAAAUAUUCAUACUAAAAUAAAGAAAUAAAUGAAAUGAGGAGGCCAAUGAGUGACAUUGAAGAGAUUUUCUGUCCCUUUCCAGAGGAAAAUCAGCGUGUGCUGCUGGCCCAGGCCGAGGUGGGUGCCCAGCUGCCAGAGCUGCUCUCCUGUGGCACAGCCCAGAUCCAGAGGGAGACCCUGGCCCUGAUCUCCCUCUACUCUGAGCACGAGGGGGGGCCGGAGGCUGCUGGGCAGGCAGGACCUGAGCAGAUGGCUGCAGAUUUUGAUGGCAUUUGUCAAGUGCGCUGAUGCAAGGGCUGAGAGUGCCAUGAACAUCCUGUCUGACUUAAGUGGGGAGGAAAGGUUCCAAGCCCAGUGUCGGGCCACGUUUUCCACGGCUGUUUCCCCUUUAUUCACCCAGCUGCUGGUAGGGAAGAUCUGAUUUUGUAUUUCCAGUUUAUUUUUGUGUAUCUUGGGCAAAGGGAUUUUUCCAGAAAAUAUGACUGUGACACCUUGGGCAGCUGGGGUUUGCCAGAGAGCUCCUGGAGUGCCAGAGGGUGGCACACACACC